CCUACGGGAGGCAGCAGUAGGGAAUAUUGGACAAUGGGCGCAAGCCUGAUCCAGCCAUCCCGCGUGCAGGAUGAAAGUCCUAUGGAUUGUAAACUGCUUUUAUCAGGGAAGAAACCUUGGGAUUCAUCCCAAGUUGACGGUACCUGAGGAAUAAGCACCGGCUAACUCCGUGCCAGCAGCCGCGGUAAUACGGAGGGUGCAAGCGUUAUCCGGAUUUACUGGGUUUAAAGGGUGCGUAGGUGGUCUUGUAAGUCAGCGGUGAAAGCUCGGAGCUCAACUCCGAAAUUGCCAUUGAUACUGCAAGGCUUGAGUACAGUUGAGGUAGGCGGAAUAUGUCAUGUAGCGGUGAAAUGCUUAGAUAUGACAUAGAACACCAAUUGCGAAGGCAGCUUGCUAAACUGAAACUGACACUGAGGCACGAAAGCGUGGGGAUCAAACAGGAUUAGAUACCCUGGUAGUCCACGCCCUAAACGAUGCUAACUCGAUUUUGGCGAUAUACAGUCAGAGUACCGAACGGGAAACCGGAACGUAAGUUAAGUACCGACCCGUACGGGGUAGGUACGGUCCCGGCCGAACGGAGUAGAACGUACGAAAGGAAAGUUAGUACGGACGUAGAGACGUUGCCGACGGACGACGACGAGGGGAGGAGGG
Molecule: ribosomal RNA, 651 nt
Filed under: uncultured bacterium
Lineage: Bacteria
Description: bacterial SSU rRNA
Rfam family: Bacterial small subunit ribosomal RNA (bases 1-542)
Source: RNAcentral